UCAUUAGUAAAUUUUUUUGUUAAAAUGUCUAAUUUCUUCCUCAGAUUAGAAUACAUUUAUUGGUUUUAAGUAAUGACAAUGGCUUAUGUCUGACAUGAUUAUUGGGGCUAAAUAAGAUAGGAAGUAAACCUCUGUGCUGAUUUAUAUCAAUUCUUUAUAUCUCCUCCAAAGCUGGUCGAAGCAAAGACAAAUUUUGACCAAUAUAAAAAUGAUUUCACCAAAAGAACCUUUGUGAGCAUGCUUCAAAGACUCAUAACUGCUCCAAAAGUAAUCUGAUCGAAUUUGAAGCAUGUCAAGCAGAUAUCAUC
This 308-nucleotide long non-coding RNA is filed under the name Mytilus galloprovincialis (Mediterranean mussel). The record is from RNAcentral. Lineage: Eukaryota; Metazoa; Mollusca; Bivalvia; Mytilida; Mytilidae.